RNAcentral lists this long non-coding RNA (1647 nucleotides) under Salmo salar (Atlantic salmon). RNAcentral's name for it is "lncRNA (ENSSSAG00000104727.1)". Lineage: Eukaryota; Metazoa; Chordata; Actinopteri; Salmoniformes; Salmonidae. The record is from RNAcentral.
CCCUAAUGCUGAGCUGAGCACUACUACAGCCCUGCUAUAGGUCCCCUCUAAAUGUAAUGUCAUCAGACGUAACAAAGGGAAGUAACGUUAUGUUUCCCCCUCCCUUCCAAACUCUUCUCAAAAAGGCCAGAUGACACGAAGGUCUUAUGUUGUCGGCUCUUAAAUAAAGCUCAGCAGGGGACGCGGGAGAGGGGAGUCUUUCAUCGGCACCACAUCCACCACGACAGGACUACACAGUACAUCCUUUGACAUUGAGGCUCUUUGGGAGAAGAAGAUUCAUACCCACAGAAGGAAAUGAAUGUGGCUCUUAUUCAUGAUAAGCUUUUUAUAAAAGAUCUCUGGGAACAAAAAAUUGCUAAACACGACCAAAGGACAGAAACUGAAGACAUGAGGAAGAAAAAUAGUGCUCUCACCAAAACUUUUCUUCUUCAUAUUUGGAUUAGGAAUACAUCCUGCUGUGAGUGAUAAAACUUCCACAAUUUAGGUGAUAUCACUUUCGACGCAUCUGCAACAUGUAACAGACCAUGAUCUUGUUACGAGCAAUAUGUUAACGCUAAGGGCUUCUCAGGACAACUUACACUGACAAUCGUAUUAAAGUACUUGGCCAUAAGAAUCUCUAAUCACAGAAGCAAAAGCACACUCUAAUAUCUCAUAACCCCAUGGCUAGUCCGUGGCUAGUCCAUGUAAUCAUGUGUAUAUCCCUGAUCUGAGAAGGACUGGAAAAACUUUAGGGAAUCCGAUAUGAUAAUCAGAGAGUGUUGAGUGAUAUUAGGGGAUGCCAUAUUCCAUGCUUAGCUGUCCUACAAUAGCCUGUGCUGCUUUAAGGUUAGAGGAUUAUCAGACACAGCAGUGUCACAGCAGCAACAAAUGCAAUAAGCCAAGUAGAUGUGAGGAAGGUGGCAGAGCCAUCCUCACAAUACUGGGCACAAGAGCACGGUGUCACAAAUAAUAAACCCAUUGGAAGUCCUAGAGGAAUUGUCGAAGAAAUUUUGCCUGGGUGCCCGUCUGUUUCUGCUCUCUUGCUAAUGGAGCUGCGAGACGAAUGGCACCGAAGGCUUGAGAGUCGAACAAAACAUCUGAAGAAAUUAAAUGACGAACUUCUGAGGAAGAGCAAACUUGCCAAACAGGCAGAUGACACAUAAUGGAGUGUUGCAUUUGUCCCGUCUGUUCUCGUGAAGAGUGAUGUCUUUUUUCUGAUAUCAAUAAAAAACAUGUUUUAUCAUGGUCACUCCUGUUUUGUCUCACACUGAGGGAAGAUUCACUAUUGAGCAUACUUUUUAGUCCAGCAUUAUCUAUACUUAGGUUUAAGGCUUACGCAUAGGCUUAAGUAGGCUUAAGUGAACGAAGCGUACACACUUGCAGUUAAAACAGGUUGAAGAGUGUUGGAAACUGACCCUAGGAGUUCAGUUUUCUCAAGUGUAUUCUAGUAUCACUGUAAAUGGACUACAGAAGUCAACUAUAUAAAUUGUGCCAUUUCUACAUGGAACAAUGACACUAUUGGUAUGAAUAUAGGAAGUUUUACUGAGAUCAUGUAUAACAAUAUCAAAGUAAAUGUUAGUUUGGAAUAGAUUACGUUGGUAAAUAUGCCAAAUGAUUUUGUAAGUUGAUUUAUUUCUGUUGGAAAAUAUUCAGUAUCCUAAGCAGUCG